RNAcentral lists this ribosomal RNA (528 nucleotides) under [Candida] sp. BG01-7-21-016A-2-1. RNAcentral's name for it is "eukaryotic LSU rRNA". It matches the Rfam family "Eukaryotic large subunit ribosomal RNA", at positions 40 to 636 of the family's 3401-position model. The record is from RNAcentral. RNAcentral also lists the same sequence under 2 other names. Lineage: Eukaryota; Fungi; Ascomycota; Saccharomycetes; Saccharomycetales.
AUAUCAAUAAGCGGAGGAAAAGAAACCAACCGGGAUUGCCUCAGUAACGGCGAGUGAAGCGGCAAAAGCUCAAAUUUGAAAUCUCCGUAAGGCGAGUUGUAAUUUGAAGAAGCAACUUUGGACUGGUGCCUUGUCUAUGUUCCUUGGAACAGGACGUCACAGAGGGUGAGAAUCCCGUGCGAUGAGGACCACCAGGCCAUGUAAAGUGCUUUCGACGAGUCGAGUUGUUUGGGAAUGCAGCUCUAAGUGGGUGGUAAAUUCCAUCUAAAGCUAAAUAUUGGCGAGAGACCGAUAGCGAACAAGUACAGUGAUGGAAAGAUGAAAAGCACUUUGAAAAGAGAGUGAAAAAGUACGUGAAAUUGUUGAAAGGGAAGGGCUUGAGAUCAGACUUGGUGACUCGUCACUGGGCCAGCAUCGGUUUGGGUGGUAGGACAAUACCGUAGGAACGUAGCUCAUUGAGUGUUAUAGCCUGCGGGGAUACUGCCUAUCCAGACCGAGGACUGCGGCAACUAGGAUGCUGGCAUAAUG